CAUGCAAGUCGAGCGAACAGAUAAGGAGCUUGCUCCUUUGACGUUAGCGGCGGACGGGUGAGUAACACGUGGGUAACCUACCUAUAAGACUGGGAUAACUUCGGGAAACCGGAGCUAAUACCGGAUAACAUUUGGAACCGCAUGGUUCUAAAGUGAAAGAUGGUUUUGCUAUCACUUAUAGAUGGACCCGCGCCGUAUUAGCUAGUUGGUAAGGUAACGGCUUACCAAGGCGACGAUACGUAGCCGACCUGAGAGGGUGAUCGGCCACACUGGAACUGAGACACGGUCCAGACUCCUACGGGAGGCAGCAGUAGGGAAUCUUCCGCAAUGGGCGAAAGCCUGACGGAGCAACGCCGCGUGAGUGAUGAAGGGUUUCGGCUCGUAAAACUCUGUUAUUAGGGAAGAACAAACGUGUAAGUAACUGUGCACGUCUUGACGGUACCUAAUCAGAAAGCCACGGCUAACUACGUGCCAGCAGCCGCGGUAAUACGUAGGUGGCAAGCGUUAUCCGGAAUUAUUGGGCGUAAAGCGCGCGUAGGCGGUUUCUUAAGUCUGAUGUGAAAGCCCACGGCUCAACCGUGGAGGGUCAUUGGAAACUGGGAAACUUGAGUGCAGAAGAGGAAAGUGGAAUUCCAUGUGUAGCGGUGAAAUGCGCAGAGAUAUGGAGGAACACCAGUGGCGAAGGCGACUUUCUGGUCUGUAACUGACGCUGAUGUGCGAAAGCGUGGGGAUCAAACAGGAUUAGAUACCCUGGUAGUCCACGCCGUAAACGAUGAGUGCUAAGUGUUAGGGGGUUUCCGCCCCUUAGUGCUGCAGCUAACGCAUUAAGCACUCCGCCUGGGGAGUACGACCGCAAGGUUGAAACUCAAAGGAAUUGACGGGGACCCGCACAAGCGGUGGAGCAUGUGGUUUAAUUCGAAGCAACGCGAAGAACCUUACCAAAUCUUGACAUCCUUUGAAAACUCUAGAGAUAGAGCCUUCCCCUUCGGGGGACAAAGUGACAGGUGGUGCAUGGUUGUCGUCAGCUCGUGUCGUGAGAUGUUGGGUUAAGUCCCGCAACGAGCGCAACCCUUAAGCUUAGUUGCCAUCAUUAAGUUGGGCACUCUAGGUUGACUGCCGGUGACAAACCGGAGGAAGGUGGGGAUGACGUCAAAUCAUCAUGCCCCUUAUGAUUUGGGCUACACACGUGCUACAAUGGACAAUACAAAGGGCAGCUAAACCGCGAGGUCAUGCAAAUCCCAUAAAGUUGUUCUCAGUUCGGAUUGUAGUCUGCAACUCGACUACAUGAAGCUGGAAUCGCUAGUAAUCGUAGAUCAGCAUGCUACGGUGAAUACGUUCCCGGGUCUUGUACACACCGCCCGUCACACCACGAGAGUUUGUAACACCCGAAGCCGGUGGAGUAACCAUUUAUGGAGCUAGCCGUCGAA
Molecule: ribosomal RNA, 1427 nt
Filed under: Staphylococcus saprophyticus
Lineage: Bacteria; Bacillati; Bacillota; Bacilli; Caryophanales; Staphylococcaceae
Description: 16S ribosomal RNA
Rfam family: Bacterial small subunit ribosomal RNA
Source: RNAcentral